AUGAAGGGGGCUAGCGUUGUUCGGAAUUACUGGGCGUAAAGCGAGUGUAGGUGGUUGUCCAAGUUGGAUGUGAAAGCCUUGAGCUCAACUCAAGAAAUGCAUUCAGGACUGGGCGGCUAGAGGACCGGAGAGGAUAGUGGAAUUCCCAGUGUAGUGGUGAAAUACGUAGAGAUUGGGAAGAACACCAGUGGCGAAGGCGGCUACCUGGACGGUUUCUGACACUAAGACUCGAAAGCGUGGGGAGCAAACAGGA
RNAcentral lists this ribosomal RNA (253 nucleotides) under uncultured prokaryote. RNAcentral's name for it is "partial 16S ribosomal RNA". It matches the Rfam family "Bacterial small subunit ribosomal RNA", at positions 525 to 777 of the family's 1533-position model. The record is from RNAcentral.